RNAcentral lists this ribosomal RNA (406 nucleotides) under uncultured bacterium. RNAcentral describes it as "partial 16S ribosomal RNA". It matches the Rfam family "Bacterial small subunit ribosomal RNA", at positions 30 to 526 of the family's 1533-position model. The record is from RNAcentral.
AUUGAACGCUGGCGGCAUGCCUUACACAUGCAAGUCGAACGAGUGGCGCGCGGGUGAGUAAUACAUCUGAACGUGUCCUAGAGUGAGGGAUAACUGAUCGAAAGAUCAGCUAAUACCGCAUACACUAGGAGCGGCCGACGCCGGGUUAGCUAGUGGGUGGGGGAAAGGCUCACCAAGGGGACGAUCGGUAGCUGGUGUGGGAGGACGACCAGCCACACUGGGACUGAGACACGGCCCAGACUCCUACGGGAGGCAGCAGUGGGGAAUAUUGGACAAUGGGGGCAACCCUGAUCCAGCCAUGCCGCGUGUAGGAUGAAGGUCUUCGGAUUGUAAAGUGCUUUUGUCAGGGAAGCGGUACCUGAAGAAUAAGCACCGGCUAACUCCGUGCCAGCAGCCGCGGUAAUAC